UUUUUAAAUAUAAAUAUUAUUAGAUUUAUUUUAAUGUUACAUUUCUAUUUACUAUAAAACAUUAGAGUUACUCUUAAUUUUUUUGGGGAUAAUAAAGGUAAAUGAUAUUAUGGUUAAAAGAGAGUUUUAGUGUUCUUUUUUAGAAAUUUGGAGGUGUAGAUGUCCUUUCCCCCCAAAAAAAAAUAUUAUUUGAGAUUGUGUGCUUAAUUUUCAUGUUGAUUAGAUAUUUAUCAAAAAAAGAAACUUUUGGUUUCUUCUUUAUAAGAAUAAAUAAAAGUAGUAAAGAAAAUACCAUUAUCUAAUGUGAUCAGCAAGUUGACACUAUAUAGGUCGCAAGUAAGCCUGGGCAUGGCGGCUUAUACAUAUCACUAUAUCAGUAUGACGUGUCUCGCGCACACUGUUUUUGCUCCAUGAUUAAGAUUUUUAUAUUUUUUCCCCAAAAAGUCGAUUUUCCGAUAAAUAUACUUACAAAUUUUGCAGGCAAGAUAUUGGAUACGCAUUUUGCUAGCUUUUAGUGAAGUCAGAUUCAAUGUGCUAUGGUUAAUUAAAAUGUGAUUUGAUUGCUAACUUCUUUAAUUUCUAUUUAGAUUUCUAAUCUUUUUUUGAUGUCUGAGGAACUGUUGGGUGAAUUGUAGAACUAAGCCUGUUAAGAAUUUUUGUUGUACUCAUGUAUAAUAAUGGCACUGAUUAUCUUGCCAAUUUUGAGUUUGCGUUAUUAGCAGGUUCUUAGCUCAGGAUGUUAAGAGAUUUUCUAAUUACAAUUUUGAUGUGGUUCGCUAUUUAGUUUGGGAAAAUAUUAUCUCAAAGCAAAUUGCUUCCUUUCGUUAUUAGAAAUUCUCAAUAAUUCUUCCCUUGGAUUGAUCUGUAUAUCUUUCUUUAAAUCUUAAGAUGCAGGAUUCGAAUUUUUC
RNAcentral lists this long non-coding RNA (908 nucleotides) under Citrus sinensis (sweet orange). RNAcentral describes it as "long non-coding RNA (CSIN_LNC000020)". The record is from RNAcentral. Lineage: Eukaryota; Viridiplantae; Streptophyta; Magnoliopsida; Sapindales; Rutaceae.